UACGUAGGGGGCUAGCGUUGUCCGGAAUUAUUGGGCGUAAAGAGCGUGUAGGCGGUUCGAUAAGUCUCCUGUGAAAGUCGGGGGCUCAACCCUCGAAGGCCGGUGGAUACUGUCGAGCUAGAGUACGGAAGAGGGGAGUGGAAUUCCUGGUGUAGCGGUGAAAUGCGUAGAUAUCAGGAGGAACACCGGUGGUGUAGACGGCUUUCUGGACCGUAACUGACGCUGAGGCACGAAAGCGUGGGUAGCAAACAGG
This 253-nucleotide ribosomal RNA is filed under the name uncultured bacterium. RNAcentral's name for it is "partial 16S ribosomal RNA". It matches the Rfam family "Bacterial small subunit ribosomal RNA", at positions 524 to 776 of the family's 1533-position model. The record is from RNAcentral.